Molecule: long non-coding RNA, 988 nt
Organism: Cyprinus carpio (common carp)
Lineage: Eukaryota; Metazoa; Chordata; Actinopteri; Cypriniformes; Cyprinidae
Exons: 3
Source: RefSeq, a predicted model, not a curated record
GCGUCUAUUUAUAGUGUAGGGGGCGGGCGCUUCGGAUUCUAGAGAGCAUUUGAUUGUUCAGAAGAUUUGAUGAGAAGAUGUAGUACGAAGUGACGUCAAAAAAUCUUUGAGCUGUUUUGGCAGAAGUGACGAACUGCAAGCUUUGAUUGCUUAUAUCUUCUAAAUGCGAAUUUUUUUACUAUUUUGGAGCACACUGCCUUAUAGAUAACCUUAAGACUAACAUAUUGAUACUAACACCCAAAAAACUUUAAUUUAAAUUUCAUGGGGACUUUUAAGUCUAAAAAAUAAUUCCUAGGCUUUACAAAUACCAAUAGUAACAGGUCACACCCAAAUAUCUUGCAAGUUAUUUUAUCAAUGGACCAGUAAGUUCAGCAUUCUAGGUUCGUCCGAGAAGAGAGAUGUGCGACAGCAGUGAACCACUCAGAUACAGGGGUUGAGACUUAUGGCAAUAUCACUCGUCAAGGAAUGUUCACAACCUCCAACCAAUGGGCGGCUCGCCAGUCCAAACUCCACCGUUAUGUGCACAGGAGAGAGUUGAGACAGUUCACAAUCCAGGAAAAGGUUCACACUUCACUUGAUUCGUAUCCAGAACAGGCAACAUGCAGUAGAUGAACAUCAAACAGGACAUCACAAGGAAACAAACAAGGAGAGGAAAAAAAAAACCUAGCCUUGAAAACACAAGGCAAAAAAAAAAAAAAAAAAUAUAUAUAAUCAAUCAAUUAGCACUUUCCAAUGUAUAUACUGAUUCAACACAAAUUUCAAAUAAACAAUAUACAUUCAUAUACUUCUGUGUACGGAAUUUCUUUGUAUGAUUUUUCUUUCCUUAUUUGGCAUUCCCUUUUUAACAAUAUAAGCAUUGCACUUAAAUUUUAUGCAGUCACUUGCAUAAUUAUCUUAUUUGACACACAAAGCAUAUUAAUUAUUGGUAUUUCACAGGAAUUACCAUUACUUUUCUCUCUAUUUCUCUCUUAGGUCUGUGUCCAUCAUU